CUUCACCGACCCCAGCCACAACGGCCGGUCCGCUUCGCGGUCCUGGCCGUAGGUGGCGAUCAGCGCCUGGGCCUC
RNAcentral lists this antisense RNA (75 nucleotides) under Streptomyces sp. 2314.4. Its description in RNAcentral is "ASpks TB sRNA". It matches the Rfam family "ASpks TB sRNA". RNAcentral also lists the same sequence under 1 other name. The record is from RNAcentral. Lineage: Bacteria; Bacillati; Actinomycetota; Actinomycetes; Kitasatosporales; Streptomycetaceae.